This is a non-coding RNA of Vicugna pacos (alpaca), 1355 nucleotides long. The record is from RefSeq and is a predicted model, not a curated record. NCBI's taxonomy places the organism in Eukaryota, Metazoa, Chordata, Mammalia, Artiodactyla, Camelidae.
ACUGCCGCCGCCACCUCCACCGCUCCCCCCACUGUCGCAAACCGCGCCCAGCCGCCGAGGCGGGCGUGCGUGCGACCCCGCCACACUGCUGAAAAAGGGGCGCGCGCGCGCGCCCUCCCGCGCGGCUUCCUGGCUCCUUCCCUUUCCCCACUCCCGUCUUGCCCUUUUCCCGCCGCCCUCCCGGCGGUUUGCACGGAGAGGUGAGAUCCGUUGGCUUUCGAGGGCAGUAUUUCGUACGUCCCCUUCCCCACGACUGCCUCAAAAAAGGAGAGGCGGAACUCAGAGGGAUGUCCCCUCACCCCCUUCCUCCUUCCAAAGGCGUUUCAGCCGCAAUUGGCCCAAUCCUUCGAUCCCCGACCCGCUGCAAGGACUCAAAGUCUGUGGAAUGGACUAGACCACCAACGUCCCAGGGGACGGGGGAAGAGACAGAAGUCACCUCUUGAUUUAGCGAUGUCAGUGGGUAAGACUGGAGGCAGAGAGAUGAACUCCAAGGCUACUGCAACACUGCAGACCUGAACUAAGGCAGCACCAAUGAAGAUGGAAAGUAGAGUUGCUUCCAGAGGUACUUAAGAAAUACAGUCAACUAGACCAGUAAUUCCUGGAAUGUGAGGAGUGAAGAGAGAGGGACAUAGAGUGCCUCAGAUAACAAACAUGAAACAAAGAAAUUAAAUUACUAGCUCACAGAGGCGGUAAGUGGUGGAUGCACACAGCCUAACUCUGAGACCUGAGUUCUUCAUCUCUGCACCAUAUGGCUACCCACUGAAUUGCCAGCAUGUUUAUCUCUGGAGUCUGAAUUCCUGACUGAUAUGAUGGCCUGUCUCCAAAUAAGGCCUAUUUUGCUGUCCUCUCUCGGAAAUUCUGGAAUACCACUGAAGGCCAUCAAUAAUACUAUUUGUACAUGGCUAUAUACUAAUAUACUAGAAGAGAUGGCAAAGACUUCGGAAUUACUUGUGGGGCCUCAGGGAUACCAUAAUUUAAAACCCUUGAACAAAAAAGAUGUAGCAAGUCUCCCUACAGCUCCAGAUCCUGAAAGAGUUGUCGGAAUUGCAGGGAAUGAUUUCUCCACUGGGAGCAGGAAGAGUAGUGGCAUAAAAGAGAAAAUACCAACCAAGCUUUUCGACUUUCUUACCAGAAUGCCAGCUUUGCUACAUGCCACCUGUUUAUUGGUCUAUACCCCAAAGAUCAACACAGAUCACCAACACAAAAUGCUUGUGCAUCAAGUUCUUAACAGAGAUGGCAGCCUUAAAACAGCCACUCUGCCACACCCCCACCACAGGCUAAAUUAUUUGUUGGCAAAAUCCUUUUCUGAUUUACAGUGCCUUCACACUCAAUAAACGUUUUCUGAAUGAAUUAAA